UACGUAGGGUGCGAGCGUUAAUCGGAAUUACUGGGCGUAAAGCGUGCGCAGGCGGCGCGUUAAGACAGGUGUGAAAGCCCCGAGCUUAACUUGGGAAUUGCGCUUGUGACUGGCGAGCUGGAGUGUGGCAGAGGGAGGUGGAAUUCCACGUGUAGCAGUGAAAUGCGUAGAGAUGUGGAGGAACACCGAUGGCGAAGGCAGCCUCCUGGGCCGACACUGACGCUGAUGCGCGAAAGCCAGGGGAGCGAACGGG
RNAcentral lists this ribosomal RNA (253 nucleotides) under uncultured bacterium. Its description in RNAcentral is "partial 16S ribosomal RNA". It matches the Rfam family "Bacterial small subunit ribosomal RNA", at positions 524 to 776 of the family's 1533-position model. The record is from RNAcentral.